This 400-nucleotide ribosomal RNA is filed under the name uncultured Verrucomicrobium sp. RNAcentral describes it as "bacterial SSU rRNA". It matches the Rfam family "Bacterial small subunit ribosomal RNA", at positions 979 to 1375 of the family's 1533-position model. The record is from RNAcentral. Lineage: Bacteria; Pseudomonadati; Verrucomicrobiota; Verrucomicrobiia; Verrucomicrobiales; Verrucomicrobiaceae.
GCUUGACAUGUAUUGUAACCCCGGUGAAAGCCGGGCAGCAUGGAAACAUGCGCUUUACACAGGUGCUGCAUGGCUGUCGUCAGCUCGUGUCGUGAGAUGUUGGGUUAAGUCCCGCAACGAGCGCAACCCUUGUGGUUUGUUGCCACCGGUUCAUUCCGAGCACUCAAAUCAGACUGCCCAGAUUAACUGGGAGGAAGGUGGGGAUGACGUCAAGUCCGUAUGGCCCUUACGUCCUGGGCUGCACACGUACUACAAUGUCCAGUACAAAUUGAACCGAUGCCGCAAGGUGGAGGAAAUCAAUAAAACUGGGCUCAGUUCAGAUUGCAGGCUGCAACUCGCCUGCAUGAAGUCGGAAUCGCUAGUAAUGGUACAUCAGCAACGGUACCGUGAAUACGUUCCC